CAGCCGCCACGGGAAUACAGAGGGUGCGAGCGUUAAUCGGAUUUACUGGGCGUAAAGCGUGCGUAGGCGGCUUCUUAAGUCGGAUGUGAAAUCCCUGAGCUUAACUUAGGAAUUGCAUUCGAUACUGGGAAGCUAGAGUAUGGGAGAGGAUGGUAGAAUUCCAGGUGUUGCGGUGAAAUGCGUAGAGAUCUGGAGGAAUACCGAUGGCGAAGGCAGCCAUCUGGCCUAAUACUGACGCUGAGGUACGAAAGCAUGGGGAGCAAACAGGAUUAGAUACCCCCGUAGUCCCUGUCUCUUAUAC
Molecule: ribosomal RNA, 301 nt
Filed under: uncultured bacterium
Lineage: Bacteria
Description: partial 16S ribosomal RNA
Rfam family: Bacterial small subunit ribosomal RNA
Source: RNAcentral